ACCUUGUCUAUUUCGAUGUCAGACAACUGGUUUAAACCAACUAUGUAAAUGUUCAUGAAUAGGGCAGCAACAAUGGCCUCUAACACCCCAGUGAAAAAUAAUGGAGAAAAAUCAGAGAACUUCUCAACUGCAAGGAGAGAAACUGAAAUUAUGCUCAAUGCUGUUCCUAUUAUGGUAUGGGGCCGCGAGAACCUGUAGAAAGCAUCUACGGCAUCAUUAACUGAGUCCCAAGGACUUUUAGAAGGUUGAGAUUCAAGAGGGUGUUCAGAUGAUGCGUGCACCAAAAAUCUCCCUUUAAGUUUUUUAUCAGCAGCAAUAGUGCUUAGAUCACUUCCUCCAACAUGCUCUUGCGUGAUAUACUGCCGCUGCAACUUCAUUGAAGAGGAAUAGUGCUUUUUUGGUCUCUUCCAUGCUUUACAUUUCAAAACCCGUACUAUUGCAUGUGAACUGGUUUUGAGUGGAGAAAACUCAGCAGGAACUGGAAUUGAUGGUCUAUGAAAGGACCCAAUAAGCAAAGAUUCCAUUUUUGAUUUUUAAAUCAGCACUGAACUCCACUCUACUUUGAACUACCUGAAAUUAAGCUUCAGAACAUGGGAUACUGCUAUUUCUCAUUUCAAUUUUUG
Molecule: unclassified non-coding RNA, 623 nt
Filed under: Hevea brasiliensis (rubber tree)
Lineage: Eukaryota; Viridiplantae; Streptophyta; Magnoliopsida; Malpighiales; Euphorbiaceae
Source: RNAcentral